This is a long non-coding RNA of Perca flavescens (yellow perch), 369 nucleotides long. RefSeq lists it as uncharacterized. NCBI's taxonomy places the organism in Eukaryota, Metazoa, Chordata, Actinopteri, Perciformes, Percidae. The transcript is spliced from 3 exons. The record is from RefSeq and is a predicted model, not a curated record.
GAUGUGUUCUAACUGUUAUAUUUCACCAAAAAUCCAUGUUUGUUGAUAUUUUGUUAUUUAUUUUCAUAUAAAUCUGGUUUUGUGUGUAUUUAUUUUGGGGAGCUUUUAUUUUGUUAAUUUUAUUCUGGCGGUGUGACCAGUUGCCUGUUAGUGAUGUCACUUCCUGUAUUCUCCUCAGUAGCGGUACGCUAUGGUGAGGAGAGGUGUGCUAUGUGCGUGUAGGAACCCAGAGCUGCUGUACUGAUUUAAUUGUGUGUUGUACACAGGUAUGCAAAAUAAAACCCCCGUUCAACUGGCAAAGCAGAAGAUGUCUGUCGUCCAUUACUACGCAUACUGAAAUUGAGGGAGUGUCAGGCCAGACCGGCUACA